This 851-nucleotide ribosomal RNA is filed under the name Cyathicula microspora. RNAcentral describes it as "LSU rRNA". It matches the Rfam family "Eukaryotic large subunit ribosomal RNA", at positions 68 to 936 of the family's 3401-position model. The record is from RNAcentral. Lineage: Eukaryota; Fungi; Ascomycota; Leotiomycetes; Helotiales; Helotiaceae.
ACAGGGAUUACCUCAGUAACGGCGAGUGAAGCGGUAACAGCUCAAAUUUGAAAUCUGGCUCUUUUAGGGUCCGAGUUGUAAUUUGUAGAAGAUGCUUCGGGUGUGGCUCCGGUCUAAGUUCCUUGGAACAGGACGUCAUAGAGGGUGAGAAUCCCGUAUGUGACUGGUUGCCUUCGCCCAUGUGAAGCUCUUUCGACGAGUCGAGUUGUUUGGGAAUGCAGCUCUAAAUGGGAGGUAAAUUUCUUCUAAAGCUAAAUAUUGGCCAGAGACCGAUAGCGCACAAGUAGAGUGAUCGAAAGAUGAAAAGCACUUUGGAAAGAGAGUUAAACAGUACGUGAAAUUGUUGAAAGGGAAGCGCUUGCAACCAGACUUGCCCGCCGUCGAUCAUCCUCCGUUCUCGGGGGUGCACUCGGCGGUGGUCAGGCCAGCAUCGGUUUCGGUGGUGGGAUAAAGGCCUUGGGAAUGUGGCUCCUCUCGGGGAGUGUUAUAGCCCUCGGUGCAAUGCCGCCUACCGGGACCGAGGACCGCGCUUCGGCUAGGAUGCUGGCGUAAUGGUUGUAAGCGACCCGUCUUGAAACACGGACCAAGGAGUCUAACAUCUAUGCGAGUGUUUGGGUGUUAAACCCAUACGCGUAAUGAAAGUGAACGGAGGUGAGAACCCGUUAGGGGGCAUCAUCGACCGAUCCUGAAGUCUUCGGAUGGAUUUGAGUAAGAGCAUAGCUGUUGGGACCCGAAAGAUGGUGAACUAUGCCUAAAUAGGGUGAAGCCAGAGGAAACUCUGGUGGAGGCUCGCAGCGGUUCUGACGUGCAAAUCGAUCGUCAAAUUUGGGUAUAGGGGCGAAAGACUAAUC